UUUACCUCGUUUAUGGGAAAAUUUUAAACUAAGGGCGAGUUGUAUUUACGAAUAAAACUAUUUAACCAAUCGAACCAAAUCGUCUACAAGGAUUGGCAUUCAAAAAUACAUAAACGUUCACGUGGUCCUUAAACUGGGUUUAUUUAAAUUACUAGAUAGAUAACGUGGAGUGCUCAAUUAUAUGUAAAUAAGCACGAAGCAAGAUGUCAUUGUGGGGUUCCAUCAGGUUCCUUAUCGGCGGACAAACAGGGACAGCUUAGCCCUGCUCCAAUCAAUUCCGAUUCCGAUUCACCGGAGUUCCCGUGCUGAACAAAAACACCGGUCCCGAAAGCCAUUCGGCAAACAACAAUUUGUUGGACUUUUAUUUUUUACGGUCUCGUAUUGGCACAGCUGCUACUUCAGCGAAGAAGAGUCGGAGUCGUCUUUAAAAAUAUAACGAUGACAGACAUAUAUCCACAUCGCCGGACGGAUCGGAGCGGAACAGAAAGCAGCGUUAUGCAAAAAAGGUGCAACACAUUUUCCUGCCCCACACAAAAGCAACUCUUUGUGUGUUCCUGCUAUACAAACACGAUAGUGGUGCACCUAUAAAAAGUGAACCUAACGGAUCGUCAGUGGUGGUGGUGGUGGUAUGGUGGUAUGGUAUGGUGGUGCUGCCAGUGGUGUUGCAUGUGCUGGAAUUCGCCUUCCUGUCCUUACUGGGUUGCAAGGUUUACGGCAAUGCGGCCCUCUGUUCAAAUACACCUUGCAUACAUCGUAAAAAGUUGACUCUUCCGUCUGGAAAAGCGAUAUGUACACUGAAAGAAUUUUGUGCAUCAUAAAAAAUUUUUAGAAAAUUUUUCUGACAUCG
Drosophila ficusphila is the source of this 847-nucleotide long non-coding RNA. RefSeq lists it as uncharacterized. NCBI's taxonomy places the organism in Eukaryota, Metazoa, Arthropoda, Insecta, Diptera, Drosophilidae. The transcript has 2 exons. The record is from RefSeq and is a predicted model, not a curated record.